Molecule: ribosomal RNA, 489 nt
Filed under: uncultured bacterium
Lineage: Bacteria
Description: partial 16S ribosomal RNA
Rfam family: Bacterial small subunit ribosomal RNA
Source: RNAcentral
AUUGAACGCUGGCGGCAGGCUUAACACAUGCAAGUCGAACGGUAGCAGGAGAAAGCUUGCUUUCUUGCUGACGAGUGGCGGACGGGUGAGUAAUGCUUGGGAAUCUGGCUUAUGGAGGGGGAUAACUACGGGAAACUGUAGCUAAUACCGCGUAAUAUCUUCGGAUUAAAGAAUGGGACUUUUAGCCAUUCGCCAUAAGAUGAGCCCAAGUGGGAUUAGGUAGUUGGUGGGGUAAAGGCCUACCAAGCCGACGAUCUCUAGCUGGUCUGAGAGGAUGACCAGCCACACUUGAACUUAGACCCGGUCCAGACUCCUACGGGAGGCAGCAGUUGGGAAUAUUUCGCAAUGGGGGCAACCCUGACGGAGCCAUGCCGCGUGAAUGAAGAAGGCCUUCGGGUUGUAAAGUUCUUUCGGUGGUGAGGAAGGCUAAUAUGUUAAUAGCAUAUUAGAUUGACGUUAGCCACAGAAGAAGCACCGGCUAACUCCGUG